GCAAAAAGUAGGGUGCUAGGUUUGGCUACAUCAGACCAAACAGGGCUUGAGAUGCUGGGACACAGGUCUGUACAGAGAACUCUGAAACAGAAAGCAAGUCAGAAGAUAAUUUCUCUUGAAGGCAUUUCAGGCACCUGCCGUUCCAAUUGGGCUCUUUUGGAAAGAAGCAUCCAGUGGGAUGAAUGCAAGAAUCAAGGCAGAAGUAGUUUGAUACGAUUUGGAGUUUCAGGACUGCAUGCUGAACUCAGCCCUAGUGCUCAAGCUUUGAGAACAUUCAAUCCUUGCAGUCUGUUCUCCUACAACCUAUAAUGGCCUCAUGGGAGCUACAACUAGUC
Molecule: long non-coding RNA, 335 nt
Filed under: Gallus gallus (chicken)
Lineage: Eukaryota; Metazoa; Chordata; Aves; Galliformes; Phasianidae
Source: RNAcentral